AACGAAUUGUAAUUAAGUAAUAUUUUCGUGUUUUUUUCUAUUUUUUUUUUUCUUUUUUUUUUUUUAUCUAUCUGUCGUUUCGAAAUUAUAAACGAAAAACAAUUUGGGACGUGCGAGCACGUGAAAUAUUAUGUAAAUGCGCCCGAAACCCACCUGUGCCGAGGAUCAACGUUUAAAAACUAAUUUCACACGUGCGCGCUUUUUGCAUAAUACACACUGGGCUACGACGCGAUUGAGAGUAAAACAAUAAUACUCGUUUUCGACACGAUUGAGCAAUCUAUUUGCCGGCGUACUUGUAUCGAUGCGUAGAACGAACGGAAAAACGCCGAACACAUUUUCGAGAAAACCAUUACAGUCGAGCGUGGUGUACUAUGUUGCGUACGCCGUGUACGGCAAGGUUGCUGUGUCGACAUUAUUUUCUUCAUGUUAAUUUCCGAACGCGCGCGUAGGUACAUUUGUAGCCGGAAAAUGUAGGAUCGGUUCGAAAUGUAGAGGGAAAUCACUAUGAUUUUUUUUUUUUUUUUUUUUUGAGGAAACAAUUGAUGUCAGGCCAAAAGAAAAACCACACAUCAUAGUAAAACCAAUAGAUAGAUUCCUCGCUAUGGUCCGAGUCUAAAAAAAAAUAAAAAUAAAUUGUCGACUAGAUUUCCUAGUUCGAUAGUUUUGUCCUUGCAUUUCAGGGUCACCGGGAUAACGGUUACAUUUUUUUUUUUUUUUUUUUUUUUUUUUUUUUUUUU
This is a non-coding RNA of Cinara cedri, 737 nucleotides long. The record is from the annotation of a GenBank genome assembly. NCBI's taxonomy places the organism in Eukaryota, Metazoa, Arthropoda, Insecta, Hemiptera, Aphididae.